GAGAAAACUCUAAUAACUGCUUAAUUUUAUUUUUAACUACAGAAGUUAAUGCUUUAUUUGUAUCUCACAGCAAAAGUUCAAACAGACCCUCCUUCAGUUCCAAUAUGUGACCUGUAUCCUAAUGGUGUAUUUCCCAAAGGACAAGAAUGCGAAUACCCACCCACACAAGAUGGGCGAACAGCUGCUUGGAGAACUACAAGUGAAGAAAAGAAAGCAUUAGAUCAGGCAAGUG
RNAcentral lists this small RNA (232 nucleotides) under Pan troglodytes (chimpanzee). RNAcentral's name for it is "retained intron". Lineage: Eukaryota; Metazoa; Chordata; Mammalia; Primates; Hominidae. The record is from RNAcentral.